Molecule: long non-coding RNA, 539 nt
Filed under: Triticum aestivum (bread wheat)
Lineage: Eukaryota; Viridiplantae; Streptophyta; Magnoliopsida; Poales; Poaceae
Description: long non-coding RNA (TAES_LNC021042)
Source: RNAcentral
ACACGAGGAAGAAUCAUAUAUUAGAUAAAAUUGUUGGAUUACAACAGCGGAUAUUACACGAGGAACAUCAUCCAAAUGUGAUGCAUAAUCUAAAUAUUUUCUUGAGAACAAAACUCAAACCAAAAGCGUGCAUCAACAUCCCUGCAACUUAACUAAAACUUAACCGAGGAACAUCAUCCCUACAACUAAACUAAAAUUGAAAGCAUCCAACAUCAUCAUCAUCAUCAUCAUCAUCAUCACCACCACCACCACCACCACCACCACCACCACCACCAUCAGUAUACUUGCCACGCACCCAUAUAAUCAUCCAUUUAUCUUUUGAAUCUACGAACAAAAAACAAAAUGAACUGUUAAUAGACAAUGCAUUGACAUGAUUAAUGUAGUGAUAGAUGAAGGAUGUUAGUCACAUACAAAGGUUGAAGGCCAUGCAAUCUUUGUUUUUUUCUGCAUUACCAAGAGUAGCAGUUUUUGCGUCUUCGCACCAAAUCUUAAGUUUUUGCGACUUCGCACCAAGAUCCAUAUCGACAUACACUGCCCAG